RNAcentral lists this ribosomal RNA (440 nucleotides) under uncultured bacterium. RNAcentral describes it as "partial 16S ribosomal RNA". It matches the Rfam family "Bacterial small subunit ribosomal RNA", at positions 338 to 795 of the family's 1533-position model. The record is from RNAcentral.
CCUACGGGUGGCAGCAGUGGGGGAUAUUGCACAAUGGGGGAAACCCUGAUGCAGCGACGCCGCGUGGGUGAAGAAGCGCCUCGGCGCGUAAAGCCCUGUCAGCAGGGAAGAAAAUGACGGUACCUGAAGAAGAAGCCCCGGCUAACUACGUGCCAGCAGCCGCGGUAAUACGUAGGGGGCAAGCGUUAUCCGGAUUUACUGGGGGUAAAGGGGGCGCAGAGGGCGCUGCAAGCCAGGAGUGAAAGUCCGGGGCCCAACCCCGGGACUGCGCUUGGAACUGCGUGGCUAGAGUGCAGGAGGGGCAGGCGGAAUGCGUGGUGUAGCGGUGAAAUGCGUAGAUAUCAGGAGGAACACCGGUGGCGAAGGCGGCCUGCUGGACUGCAACUGACGCUGAGGCCCGAAGGCGUGGGGAGCAAACAGGAUUAGAUACCCUGGUAGUC